RNAcentral lists this ribosomal RNA (444 nucleotides) under Acinetobacter baumannii. RNAcentral describes it as "partial 23S ribosomal RNA". It matches the Rfam family "Bacterial large subunit ribosomal RNA", at positions 1 to 492 of the family's 2925-position model. The record is from RNAcentral. Lineage: Bacteria; Pseudomonadati; Pseudomonadota; Gammaproteobacteria; Moraxellales; Moraxellaceae.
AGUCAAGUAAUUAAGUGCAUGUGGUGGAUGCCUUGGCAGUCAGAGGCGAUGAAAGACGUGAUAGCCUGCGAAAAGCUCCGGGGAGGCGGCAAAUAUCCUUUGAUCCGGAGAUGUCUGAAUGGGGGAACCCACCUACUUUAAGGUAGGUAUUGCAACAUGAAUACAUAGUGUUGCAAGGCGAACGAGGGGAAGUGAAACAUCUCAGUACCCUUAGGAAAAGAAAUCAAUUGAGAUUCCCUCAGUAGCGGCGAGCGAACGGGGAUCAGCCCAUUAAGUUAUGUGUGUUUUAGUGGAACGCUCUGGGAAGUGCGAACGUAGAGGGUGAUAUUCCCGUACACGAAAGGGCACACAUAAUGAUGACGAGUAGGGCGAGGCACGUGAAACCUUGUCUGAAUAUGGGGGGACCAUCCUCCAAGGCUAAAUACUCCUGACUGACCGAUAGUG